RNAcentral lists this ribosomal RNA (495 nucleotides) under uncultured bacterium. RNAcentral describes it as "partial 16S ribosomal RNA". It matches the Rfam family "Bacterial small subunit ribosomal RNA", at positions 28 to 507 of the family's 1533-position model. The record is from RNAcentral.
GACGAACGCUGGCGGCGUGCCUAAUACAUGCAAGUAGAACGCUGAAGGAGGAGCUUGCUUCUCUGGAUGAGUUGCGAACGGGUGAGUAACGCGUAGGUAACCUGCCUGGUAGCGGGGGAUAACUAUUGGAAACGAUAGCUAAUACCGCAUAAUAGUAGAUGUUGCAUGACAUUUGCUUAAAAGGUGCAAUUGCAUCACUACCAGAUGGACCUGCGUUGUAUUAGCUAGUUGGUGGGGUAACGGCUCACCAAGGCGACGAUACAUAGCCGACCUGAGAGGGUGGAUGGGCACACUGGGACUGGAGACAGGCCCAAGAUUCCUAGGGGAGGAACAAUAGGGGAACUUUGGCCAAGGGCCGAAAGCUUGACGAGGCAAGGCGGCGGGGUGGAAGAAGGUUUCGGGACGGAAAAGUCCGUUGGAAGGGGAGGAAGGGUGGUAAGGUGGAAAGUUCACACUGUGACGGUAUCUUAACAGAAAGGGACGGCUAACUACGUG